UACGGAGGGUGCGAGCGUUGUCCGGAAUCAUUGGGCGUAAAGCGCACGCAGGCGGUCUGCCAAGUUCGGAGUGACAGUUUCCGGCUUAACCGGAAAAGGUCUUCGAAAACUGGUGGACUUGAGGACUUGAGGGGGAGACGGAAUUCCGGGUGGAGCGGUGAAAUGCGUAGAGAUCCGGAGGAACACCAGUGGCGAAGGCGGCUCACUGGCCCGAUACUGACGCUGAGGCACGAAAGCGUGGGGAGCAAACAGG
This 253-nucleotide ribosomal RNA is filed under the name uncultured bacterium. RNAcentral describes it as "partial 16S ribosomal RNA". It matches the Rfam family "Bacterial small subunit ribosomal RNA", at positions 524 to 776 of the family's 1533-position model. The record is from RNAcentral.